This 468-nucleotide ribosomal RNA is filed under the name uncultured bacterium. RNAcentral's name for it is "partial 16S ribosomal RNA". It matches the Rfam family "Bacterial small subunit ribosomal RNA", at positions 28 to 507 of the family's 1533-position model. The record is from RNAcentral.
GACGAACGCUGGCGGCGUGCUUAACACAUGCAAGUCGAACGGAAAGGCCCUGCUUUUGUGGGGUGCUCGAGUGGCGAACGGGUGAGUAACACGUGAGUAACCUGCCCUUGACUUUGGGAUAACUUCAGGAAACUGGGGCUAAUACCGGAUAGGAGCUCCUGCUGCAUGGUGGGGGUUGGAAAGUUUCGGCGGUUGGGGAUGGACUCGCGGCUUAUCAGCUUGUUGGUGGGGUAGUGGCUUACCAAGGCUUUGACGGGUAGCAGGCAUGAGAGGGUGACCGGCCACAUUGGGACUGAGAUACGGCACAGAGUGCUACGGGGGGCAGGAGUGGGGAAUAUUGCACAAUGGGAGGAAGCCUGAUGCAGCAACGCCGCGUGCGGGAUGACGGCCUUCGGGUUGUAAACCGCUUUCGCCUGUGACGAAGCGUGAGUGACGGUAAUGGGUAAAGAAGCACCGGCUAACUACGUG